RNAcentral lists this ribosomal RNA (460 nucleotides) under uncultured bacterium. Its description in RNAcentral is "partial 16S ribosomal RNA". It matches the Rfam family "Bacterial small subunit ribosomal RNA", at positions 338 to 795 of the family's 1533-position model. The record is from RNAcentral.
CCUACGGGUGGCUGCAGUGAGGAAUAUUGGUCAAUGGGCGCGAGCCUGAACCAGCCAAGUAGCGUGAAGGAUGACUGCCCUACGGGUUGUAAACUUCUUUUAUAAAGGAAUAAAGUGAGGCACGUGUGCCUUUUUGUACGUACUUUAUGAAUAAGGAUCGGCUAACUCCGUGCCAGCAGCCGCGGUAAUACGGAGGAUCCGAGCGUUAUCCGGAUUUAUUGGGUGUAAAGGGAGCGUAGAUGGGUUGUUAAGUCAGUUGUGAAAGUUUGCGGCUCAACCGUAAAAUUGCUAUUGAUACUGGCAGCCUGGAGUACAGUUGAGGUAAGCGGAAUUCGUGGUGUAGCGGUGAAAUGCGUAGAUAUCACGAAGAACUCCGAUUGCGAAGGCAGCCUACUAGACUGCCACUGACAUUGAUGCUCGAAAGUGUGGGGAGCAAACAGGAUUAGAUACCCGAGUAGUC